Molecule: long non-coding RNA, 679 nt
Filed under: Struthio camelus australis
Lineage: Eukaryota; Metazoa; Chordata; Aves; Struthioniformes; Struthionidae
Description: lncRNA (ENSSCUG00000012096.1)
Source: RNAcentral
GAGUGAAUUCGUACGCGCCUCAAUAUUGUCCGUGUUUGGGCAAGAAACGGGAGCCCGACCUAGCAGUACGGCGGUGGCCUGCCUGGCCGGGCGGCCGGGCUGACCCCCGGCGCGUUCCUCUGUGGGGAUGAGCGGAAGGAAUCACACUGGAAAGAUAAAUCAGAAACUAAUAUGCUUAAUGCUAGCCAGCAAAAGUGAGCCUCUGUUCCUGGCAGGAUCGCUCCAUCCCCGAAUAAACGCGUCAGAGCUCGGUCACAGGUGACAUAAACAAGUUCCUUUUUAGGCUGCAAGGAACUGGGGCAGCUCCCUUGACAUUUGGAUUCGUUCCUCUGGAUUUUGUGCAGUUUGCAAGUUGGUGGGAUGACACAGCAGAGCGGAAACACGGUGCAGGCGCGUGGGUCUGCUCCUAAGGAAGAGCCUGUCUGAGGACCUACCAAAGGCAAAUAGGCCAAGAAGAGCAGCAUAUAUUGCUCAUCUGGCAACGCGGGGUGUCGGCGUCAUCUCUGGAAGAAAGGGGAACCCAGCUUUGCAGAACAGGAGCCCGACGAAAGCAUACGUAAUGAAGGAGUCGUGCUGGAGCAGUGGAGGCAGCAGAAGGAGCCAGAGCGAGCGUCUGGGCGAGCCGACCCCGCGUAUCAGAGAUGCCCUAACAGUGGCCAUCGGAUCAGCUAAUAAUUAA